Molecule: ribosomal RNA, 492 nt
Filed under: uncultured bacterium
Lineage: Bacteria
Description: partial 16S ribosomal RNA
Rfam family: Bacterial small subunit ribosomal RNA
Source: RNAcentral
AUUGAACGCUGGCGGCAUGCUUUACACAUGCAAGUCGAACGGUAACAGGCCGUCGGGUGCUGACGAGUGGCGGACGGGCGGGUAAUUCAUCGGAACGUGCCCAGAGGUGGGGGAUAACGCAGCGAAAGCAGAGCGAAGACCGCACGUGAUCUGAGGAUGAAAGCGGGGGACGAGGCAGCAAUGUUUGGCCGGGCGGCGUUGGAGCGGCCGAUGUCUGGUUGGGUGGUUGGGGGGGGAAAGGCCUACCAAGCCGACGAUCGGUGGCCGGUCUGAGAGGACGGUCAGCCACCCUGGGACUGAGCCACGGCCCAGACUCCUACGGGACGCACCAGUGUGCAAUUUUGGACAGUGGGCGCAAGCCUGAUCCAGCGAUGCCGCGUGUGAGAAGAAGGCCUUCCGGUUGUGAUCAGCUUUUGUACGUUGCGAACCGGCUCUGGCUAAUACCUGGCGCUGAUGACGGUACCGUAAGAAUAAGCACCGGCUAACUACGUG